RNAcentral lists this ribosomal RNA (275 nucleotides) under unidentified marine bacterioplankton. RNAcentral describes it as "partial 16S ribosomal RNA". It matches the Rfam family "Bacterial small subunit ribosomal RNA", at positions 62 to 339 of the family's 1533-position model. The record is from RNAcentral.
UCGAGGGGUAUAUAGUGCUUGCACUAUAGAGACCGGCGCACGGGUGCGUAACGCGUAUGCAAUCUACCUUAUACAGGGAUAGCCCAGGGAAACUUGGAUUAAUGCCCCAUAGUACCAUUAAGUAGCAUUACUUGAUGAUUAAAGAUUUAUCGGUAUAAGAUGAGCAUGCGUCCCAUUAGUUAGUUGGUAAGGUAACGGCUUACCAAGACAGCGAUGGGUAGGGGCCCCUGAGAGGGGGAUCCCCCACACUGGUACUGAGACACGGACCAGACUCC